CUACCAUGCAAGUCGAACGGUGAACACGGAGCUUGCUCUGUGGGAUCAGUGGCGAACGGGUGAGUAACACGUGAGCAACCUGCCCCUGACUCUGGGAUAAGCGCUGGAAACGGCGUCUAAUACUGGAUAUGUGACGUGACCGCAUGGUCUGCGUCUGGAAAGAAUUUCGGUUGGGGAUGGGCUCGCGGCCUAUCAGCUUGUUGGUGAGGUAAUGGCUCACCAAGGCGUCGACGGGUAGCCGGCCUGAGAGGGUGACCGGCCACACUGGGACUGAGACACGGCCCAGACUCCUACGGGAGGCAGCAGUGGGGAAUAUUGCACAAUGGGCGCAAGCCUGAUGCAGCAACGCCGCGUGAGGGACGACGGCCUUCGGGUUGUAAACCUCUUUUAGCAGGGAAGAAGCGAAAGUGACGGUACCUGCAGAAAAAGCGCCGGCUAACUACGUGCCAGCAGCCGCGGUAAUACGUAGGGCGCAAGCGUUAUCCGGAAUUAUUGGGCGUAAAGAGCUCGUAGGCGGUUUGUCGCGUCUGCUGUGAAAUCCGGAGGCUCAACCUCCGGCCUGCAGUGGGUACGGGCAGACUAGAGUGCGGUAGGGGAGAUUGGAAUUCCUGGUGUAGCGGUGGAAUGCGCAGAUAUCAGGAGGAACACCGAUGGCGAAGGCAGAUCUCUGGGCCGUAACUGACGCUGAGGAGCGAAAGGGUGGGGAGCAAACAGGCUUAGAUACCCUGGUAGUCCACCCCGUAAACGUUGGGAACUAGUUGUGGGGUCCAUUCCACGGAUUCCGUGACGCAGCUAACGCAUUAAGUUCCCCGCCUGGGGAGUACGGCCGCAAGGCUAAAACUCA
RNAcentral lists this ribosomal RNA (844 nucleotides) under Microbacterium oxydans. RNAcentral describes it as "bacterial SSU rRNA". It matches the Rfam family "Bacterial small subunit ribosomal RNA", at positions 49 to 903 of the family's 1533-position model. Lineage: Bacteria; Bacillati; Actinomycetota; Actinomycetes; Micrococcales; Microbacteriaceae. The record is from RNAcentral.